UACGUAGGUGGCAAGCGUUAUCCGGAUUUAUUAGGCGUAAAGGGAACGCAGGCGGUCUUUUAAGUCUGAUGUGAAAGCCUUCGGCUUAACCGGAGUAGUGCAUUGGAAACUGGGAGACUUGAGUGCAGAAGAGGAGAGUGGAACUCCAUGUGUAGCGGUGAAAUGCGUAGAUAUAUGGAAGAACACCAGUGGCGAAAGCGGCUCUCUGGUCUGUAACUGACGCUGAGGUUCGAAAGCGUGGGUAGCAAACAGG
RNAcentral lists this ribosomal RNA (253 nucleotides) under uncultured bacterium. RNAcentral describes it as "partial 16S ribosomal RNA". It matches the Rfam family "Bacterial small subunit ribosomal RNA", at positions 524 to 776 of the family's 1533-position model. The record is from RNAcentral.